CCUACGGGAUGCAGCAGUGAGGAAUAUUGGUCAAUGGACGAGAGUCUGAACCAGCCAAGUAGCGUGAAGGAUGACUGCCCUAUGGGUUGUAAACUUCUUUUAUAAAGGAAUAAAACGAGGCACGUGUGCCUGUUUGCAUGUACUUUAUGAAUAAGGAUCGGCUAACUCCGUGCCAGCAGCCGCGGUAAUACGGAGGAUCCGAGCGUUAUCCGGAUUUAUUGGGUUUAAAGGGAGCGUAGAUGGGUUGUUAAGUCAGUUGUGAAAGUUUGCGGCUCAACCGUAAAAUUGCAAUUGAUACGGGCAGUCUUGAGUACAGUUGAGGUAGGCGGAAUUCGUGGUGUAGCGGUGAAAUGCUUAGAUAUCACGAAGAACCCCGAUUGCGAAGGCAGCUUACUAAACUGUGACUGACAUUGAUGCUCGAAAGUGUGGGUAUCAAACAGGAUGAGAUACCCCAGUAGUC
Molecule: ribosomal RNA, 460 nt
Filed under: uncultured bacterium
Lineage: Bacteria
Description: partial 16S ribosomal RNA
Rfam family: Bacterial small subunit ribosomal RNA
Source: RNAcentral